GGGCCCGUUCCGGCAGGACGAACGCUUUGGCCUGCUAGGACCUAGCUGGCCACCCAUGCCUGGACGGACUAUUAAUCCGCGGGUCGCGGGUUCGAUCCCCGCCGGGCCCA
Molecule: transfer RNA, 110 nt
Filed under: Brachybacterium fresconis
Lineage: Bacteria; Bacillati; Actinomycetota; Actinomycetes; Micrococcales; Dermabacteraceae
Description: tRNA-Asn
Rfam family: tRNA
About the family: Transfer RNA (tRNA) molecules are approximately 80 nucleotides in length. Their secondary structure includes four short double-helical elements and three loops (D, anti-codon, and T loops). Further hydrogen bonds mediate the characteristic L-shaped molecular structure. tRNAs have two regions of fundamental functional importance: the anti-codon, which is responsible for specific mRNA codon recognition, and the 3' end, to which the tRNAs corresponding amino acid is attached (by aminoacyl-tRNA synthetases). tRNAs cope with the degeneracy of the genetic code in two manners: having more than one tRNA (with a specific anti-codon) for a particular amino acid; and 'wobble' base-pairing, i.e. permitting non-standard base-pairing at the 3rd anti-codon position.
Source: RNAcentral